RNAcentral lists this long non-coding RNA (379 nucleotides) under Mus musculus (house mouse). RNAcentral's name for it is "predicted gene, 53771". Lineage: Eukaryota; Metazoa; Chordata; Mammalia; Rodentia; Muridae. The record is from RNAcentral.
ACUAAUACCUUAGAAGUCACCAGGACUACAUCUAUAUAUGAUCCCACCCUCCCACUGAGAUCAACCUCUUCACAGACACUUUUCAGCUCCUGUGAUUUUAAAGGCUCAAAUGUUUGAAAUUACUGAUCAUUUACAUCGAACAGCACCACCUGCUGGUUGAAAUCCCCUCUGCAGUGAGGUUGCUGUACAUCAUCAAGGCAAACCAAGCAACCAAGAUAGAAAUCUGAAGACUUUCAUGAAUUCAUUGUUUUUAAUUGUUGAGUAGGACUCCAUUGUGUAAAUGUACCACAUUUUCUGUAUCCAUUCCUCUAUUGAGGGACAUCUGGGUUCUUUCCAGCUUCUGGCUAUUAUAAAUAAAGCUGUUAUGAACAAAGUGGAA